AAAGAAACCAACAGGGAUUGCCCCAGUAACGGCGAGUGAAGCGGCAACAGCUCAAAUUUGAAAUCUGGCCCUAGGCCCGAGUUGUAAUUUGCAGAGGAUGCUUUGGGCGCGGUGCCUUCCGAGUUCCCUGGAACGGGACGCCAUAGAGGGUGAGAGCCCCGUCUGGUCGGACACCAAGCCUAUGUAAAGCUCCUUCGACGAGUCGAGUAGUUUGGGAAUGCUGCUCAAAAUGGGAGGUAUAUGUCUUCUAAAGCUAAAUACCGGCCAGAGACCGAUAGCGCACAAGUAGAGUGAUCGAAAGAUGAAAAGCACUUUGAAAAGAGAGUUAAACAGCACGUGAAAUUGUUGAAAGGGAAGCGUUCAUGACCAGACUUGGCCCGGUUGAUCAUCCAGCGUUCUCGCUGGUGCACUCUGCCGGUCCAGGCCAGCAUCAGUUCGCCGCGGGGGAUAAAGGUUUCGGGAAUGUGGCUCCCUCGGGAGUGUUAUAGCCCGUUGCGUAAUACCCUGCGGUGGACUGAGGUCCGCGCUCUGCAAGGAUGCUGGCGUAAUGGUCAUCAACGACCCGUCUUGAAACACGGACCAAGGAGUCGUCUUCGUAUGCGAGUGUUCGGGUGUAAAACCCCUACGCGUAAUGAAAGUGAACGGAGGUGGGAGCUUCGGCGCACCAUCGACCGAUCCUGAUGUUCUCGGAUGGAUUUGAGUAAGAGCAUACGGGGCCGGACCCGAAAGAAGGUGAACUAUGCCUGUAUAGGGUGAAGCCAGAGGAAACUCUGGUGGAGGCUCGCAGCGGUUCUGACGUGCAAAUCGAUCGUCAAAUAUGGGCAUGGGGGCGAAAGACUAAUCGAACCUUCUAGUAGCUGGUUUCCGCCGAAGUUUCCCUCAGGAUAGCAGUGUUGAACUCAGUUUUAUGAGGUAAAGCGAAUGAUUAGGGACCCGAAAGGGCGCUAUUUUGCCUUCAUCCAUUCUCAAACUUUAAAUAUGUAAGAAGCCCUUGUUGCUUAAUUGAACGUGGGCAUUCGAAUGUAUCAAC
This 1030-nucleotide ribosomal RNA is filed under the name Inaequalispora cylindrospora. Its description in RNAcentral is "eukaryotic LSU rRNA". It matches the Rfam family "Eukaryotic large subunit ribosomal RNA", at positions 58 to 1121 of the family's 3401-position model. Lineage: Eukaryota; Fungi; Ascomycota; Sordariomycetes; Hypocreales; Stachybotryaceae. The record is from RNAcentral.